Molecule: long non-coding RNA, 263 nt
Filed under: Populus trichocarpa (black cottonwood)
Lineage: Eukaryota; Viridiplantae; Streptophyta; Magnoliopsida; Malpighiales; Salicaceae
Description: long non-coding RNA (PTRI_LNC003028)
Source: RNAcentral
CCCUCGUAGCUCAGUGGCUUGUCUGUCAUUCGCAUCCCACACAUCAAGGGUUCAAAGGCUGGUAGAUGAUGAUGAUGGAUGUACGCUAAUUAAUUAUUGAUCAGCACAGGUAUUCUAAAAUACCUUUUUUAAAAAAAAAUUAAGUAUUUUUGAGAUAUUAUAAUGAAAUGAGAAGAAAGAAGCUUACAAGGAUAGAUGAAAAAAGGAGACCCCCACUAAGAUGUCUAUUGCAUUUAUACCAUCCCAUGACCAUUAUUACGGUG